CCUUAUGUGAAUUGCUCGUCUUCCCUACUGCAUGUCGGCCACCCUGCUGUGUUUUUUCUUUUAUGCCAAACAAAAUGGUCUCUUCAUUGUUGAAAGGGCUGGUAAAUGCCAAGAGAAUUCUCCUGCUGUAAACGACAUUUUUGCUCUACCACUUCUUUUCAUCCAACUGAGGUGCAGGAGAGGACAUAAGCUGGCAUUUACAUCCUCGGAUGAGUCAUCAGAUUACGAAAGAUCUUCCAAGCAGCUGCUCAUGUGAAGUCACAGUCACAAAGAAUUGGAUUAGAGUCGAUUGUAUGGUUUCAGGAUGAGAAAACAACUUGCUGGUUUAAUUCAAUUUCUCCCCCUUCCCCUCGUUUAUCAUUAAGUUUUAUCACAAGUCCCUCAAAAUGGGGGUAGGACCACAUUUAAUCUUUCAGCUGAGCAUUUCUUUACAAUUCCUUCAAGCCUUAACAAUUUCCCAUUAUGUCAUUCAUACCAAGAUAAAUGAAGGCGGAUAACAAGCCAACUGGGUCUGAGGCGUCCAGGAGGUGACAGGGGUGGGAAGAGAGAUGGAAACGAAUAAUGUUGAACGCAAAGACUAACCUAUGGGCCUUGUCUCAGAUUUAACAACCAGUCACUAUGAUUUACAAUCCAAGAUCUCAUUCUUUGCAUCUUAUAUCCCCGAGACAUGAAGAAUGGAAGGAAUGAAAGUGUCACCUAUUUCUUACACGGAUGACUUAUAGGUUUUUAAGGAGGUUCUCUUGGACAUCAGAGCAAGUUGCCCUUGACGGAUGACUUUGCUACUGUAUUUGAUUUCAAGUUCCCACCAAGGAGUGCCAAACAAAAUCUGUUACGUUUUAAAUCGUCAUGUAAUUUCUGCCCCCUUCCCUCUGCUCCACCACAUGUCCAACCAACAAAUAAAUCAUGCCAAAGUCUUAACCACAUGCUUUAAAAUGAAACAAGCACAAGGGACAUUUUUCAAGCUCACAUCUGGAACCAUUGUUUGGGAAGAAGUCUACCAGGUAGUGUUCUAUUUUUUUUUUUU
Bos taurus (domestic cattle) is the source of this 1024-nucleotide long non-coding RNA. The record is from Ensembl. Lineage: Eukaryota; Metazoa; Chordata; Mammalia; Artiodactyla; Bovidae.